Molecule: long non-coding RNA, 431 nt
Organism: Daphnia magna
Lineage: Eukaryota; Metazoa; Arthropoda; Branchiopoda; Diplostraca; Daphniidae
Exons: 2
Source: RefSeq, a predicted model, not a curated record
CCUCCUCGUUUUCCCUUGGCCUCUUUAACCUUGUCUUUGACCCUUCGCAGCAAGGAGCCUUGCAGUUGGAGAAGCAUCUAGGAUAGAAUACACGUAUACCGAGGCGAAGAAGAGGAAGGAAGGAGGAAAAAUCAAACAACUGUAUGGUUAACAGUGAUAUCCAUUAUCGAGCGGCUAUAAAAGAUGCGUCGGACGAUGAUUAUAUCAAAUAGGUCAGCGUGAUACGUUGUAAAACAUGCAACAUGGCCAUCCACCUCCUUCGUCGUCGUCCACCCUCUGCCUGCAUUUUGAAACGAGCCAUCAAGCGACGGCCGUGUGUAUAGCCGUACAAGGCAAUCAAGUCCUGCUAUCCAAUCUGAUUGUUGUGUGUAUAGACAUAUCUAUAUAAGCGUACAUAUACACGCCCGGGAAAUUGAAGAGAACAUUUUCAA